UGGGGAAUUUUGGACAAUGGGCGCAAGCCUGAUCCAGCCAUGCCGCGUGCGGGAAGAAGGCCUUCGGGUUGUAAACCGCUUUUGUCAGGGAAGAAAUCUUCUGAGUUAAUACCUCGGGAGGAUGACGGUACCUGAAGAAUAAGCACCGGCUAACUACGUGCCAGCAGCCGCGGUAAUACGUAGGGUGCAAGCGUUAAUCGGAAUUACUGGGCGUAAAGCGUGCGCAGGCGGUUUUGUAAGACAGAGGUGAAAUCCCCGGGCUCAACCUGGGAACUGCCUUUGUGACUGCAAGGCUUGAGUGCGGCAGAGGGGGAUGGAAUUCCGCGUGUAGCAGUGAAAUUGCGUAGAUAUGCGGAGGAACACCGAUGGCGAAGGCAAUCCCCUGGGCCUGCACUGACGCUCAUGCACGAAAGCGUGGGGAGCAAACAGGAUCAGAUACCCUGGUAGUCCACGCCCUAAACGAUGUCAACUGG
Molecule: ribosomal RNA, 473 nt
Filed under: uncultured bacterium
Lineage: Bacteria
Description: partial 16S ribosomal RNA
Rfam family: Bacterial small subunit ribosomal RNA
Source: RNAcentral